GCUUUGGUAGCUCAGUAGGAUAGAGCGACAGUUUCCUAAACUGUGGGUCGGCGGUUCGAAUCCGCCCCAGAGCA
This 74-nucleotide transfer RNA is filed under the name Lentisphaera profundi. RNAcentral describes it as "tRNA-Arg". It matches the Rfam family "tRNA". From Rfam's summary of the family: Transfer RNA (tRNA) molecules are approximately 80 nucleotides in length. Their secondary structure includes four short double-helical elements and three loops (D, anti-codon, and T loops). Further hydrogen bonds mediate the characteristic L-shaped molecular structure. tRNAs have two regions of fundamental functional importance: the anti-codon, which is responsible for specific mRNA codon recognition, and the 3' end, to which the tRNAs corresponding amino acid is attached (by aminoacyl-tRNA synthetases). tRNAs cope with the degeneracy of the genetic code in two manners: having more than one tRNA (with a specific anti-codon) for a particular amino acid; and 'wobble' base-pairing, i.e. permitting non-standard base-pairing at the 3rd anti-codon position. Lineage: Bacteria; Pseudomonadati; Lentisphaerota; Lentisphaeria; Lentisphaerales; Lentisphaeraceae. The record is from RNAcentral.